GCCUGCCGAGGGUGCCAUCAACGUGCGUGCCGGCGUGGUGGAGGAGCCCGAGGUUUGACGACGGAACUCCUGUGUGGUGUGGAGGCGUUCCGACACGUCCAGCCAAGUAUCGCGUCUCGACAUACUCAAGCGGAGUCCACCUCCUCCACAUGGUGGACCAGAAGGGAUCAGUACCACCGGACUACCGGAGGAGAGCAGAGGGGAGGCGCGGCUGCUGCUCCUUUUGAUAGACAUUAACUAUUCUCUUUGACAAGUUUGGUGGAUGCAAAUCGUCUCCUGCAGCCAAUAUGAUCAGUGCACCGCUUUCCUCAAUCCCCACCCAUGUGCGUUGUUGUCCCGCAGGUGUAGAACAAUCAGCAGGGCUAGGAGGUUCUUCCUUUAAUUUUCUUCCUAAGAACCUUCUUUCCAUGUCCUCACCUCCGUUAACCCUUGGUGAAACUGAGUGUUUCUUUGCAGAGGAACCAAGAGGAGAACCAUGCAGACAUCCUUUCUGAAGGAUUUGUCUCAGCGAAGGUUUCAAUGGAAGGUCGUUGUCCAUGUCAACCAAAUCUGGGAGUACAUGGAUCAGCCGACUCAGCAGAAUUUGUUCGAACUCGACUCCAUUGUCGUUGAGCGAGAGGGCAAGACAAUUGAGGGAUGUGCGCCAGAUAAUAGAAUAGACCAGUUCAGAGAGCAGCCUAAAGAAGAUUCGAUCUACAUGUUCGAAUCUUUUAUUGUUGCUGAUGUACGAAGCGCAGAUUUUACCCAACGCACAAAGAUGUUGGACGGGUGAAAAUGUUGAUAGACAUCAUUCCACCAAAGUUGAAUCAACAACCCAAGAGACAUAUCCACUUCAAAGAUGCAAGUGGCAGACACAAAAUUGUUACUCUAUGCGGAGAGCACACAGAGAAUUUUGAUGUGGAAGGCCAUCAUGUAGCCUCUUCUAAAGAUAGCAUAAUUCUUUUUUUUGAGAUCAAGAUAGCAUAAUUCAGCUAUUCCUAGGCAUGACGGUUGCCCAGUUUCAGGUAUCUGAAUUUCAAAUCGCUACUGACACGACAAAUAUUGAUUGAGCUUGCUACUCGCACAUCACUUAUAUUAUUGCAGGAAUAUUAGGUUUCAAAAACACUUAUGUGUUGUGUUGGCACGUCAACAUACCAAUUCCUGAAACGUACAUUCUGCACUAGAGGCAAAGAUGCCAUUCUUCUUGUGGCAACUACUAGAGGACGAGCCGAUUUCGUCGCUCCUGCCAUUACCAACAUAAUAGGCAAAAUGUGUUGUCGUUGCUGAAGUCACGCAUGCAGCUCUUGAUUUCAAGAAUGUAAGCAUCAAUGAAGCAUCUGUGUGAGCUGAUAGACCCACCAUACCGAGACUGCUGAUUCUAACAUACCAAAGAUACAAUCGAGAUAGCUGAUUCUGACAUAAGAGAGGAUCAAGCUCCACCAUAGAAGGCAAGACGAGAAAGAACGCAUUAACUCAUGCUCUGUUUUAUAUCUCCAAGUAAACUUCAUUAGCUCACUAAGUUUACAACCUGGCCACCACUAGCAGAAAUCCUAGCUUCGCCAAGAAACAUCAAGGCUUCACUCGAUGUGGCAAAAAAGAUCGACUACACAAGAUAAAAAAAACAACCAGGUGGAGACUCCUCAUCAAGAAACCAUUCCGUCAACUUUUGCUACUGAGAUCACAAUGCAUAAUACAACUACCUUACGUACUACCACUGGGAUAAACACUCUAGCAGUCAUGUAAUAUUAGUUACCUAGAAGAUCAUCUAUAAUUAUCUAGAGUAGGCUUCUACCUGUAUAUAACUGUCUAAUCACCUUCCUACUAUGUAU
Lolium perenne is the source of this 1808-nucleotide long non-coding RNA. RefSeq lists it as uncharacterized. The record is from RefSeq and is a predicted model, not a curated record. Lineage: Eukaryota; Viridiplantae; Streptophyta; Magnoliopsida; Poales; Poaceae.